This 1679-nucleotide long non-coding RNA is filed under the name Homo sapiens (human). Its description in RNAcentral is "HSALNT0184400". The record is from RNAcentral. Lineage: Eukaryota; Metazoa; Chordata; Mammalia; Primates; Hominidae.
CAAAUGUUUAGCCAGCCAGGAUUAGUUUAGAUUGUAUGACCCGACCCCGGCCAAUGGGGAAGGACUUGCGUCAGAAAUAAAGGCUCUCGUGCCCCUUUGUUGAGGUGUGCUCUCAUGGUAACUGGCCAAGAAGGCACCCCUCUGCGAAGAAGUAGAACUGCUUUGCUAAGAAUCCUUUGUUCAAAUGUUCAGUUUCCUUAGGAUUUUGAGCGUUAUUACAAACACAACAGAGGUCUAAGGAGAAUUUAUCAGGACCCCUGAGUCUCCCCGCAUGACACUCAGCUAAGCAGGGGAAAGUGGUAUUUGGAGGACACAUAUGUGGUGAAUCAUAAGACCUGCAGCAUCUGACCUCCUGAGCUGCCUCUCCGGGCGCUUGGCCUCAAAUGCAAGAGACAGAUCAUAGAAGUGAUGUGCAUGAACCAAGAUACCCAAGGAGCAUCACACCUUUGGACAAGAGCAGUCCGGGAGAGGGAAAAACAAACCAGCCAGCAUUCUGCAGCUCAUUCAUUCAACACGCUUCCACUAAGUGCCUGCUGCCACUGCUGUGGCAGAUGAUGACAAAGAUGAUGAUGAUGAUGACCAAGUAUUAAGUAAAGAUGCCAUUUACAGAUGGACAUAAUCCCUGUCCUCACAGAAUACUUGAUUUAGUGGGGGACUAAAGCAAUAAUGACACAAAUAAAUACAUCCUUUACAAAUUGUGAGACUGCUGUGAAGGAGAAGGAAAGGUUGUGAAGAAACGUGUCUCAGACUCAGAUUUUAAUAAAGCGCCCCCGAUUAACAUUAGCAGAUGACCUUGGCUCUGCCCCCAGCGCCAGCCCUUACUCACUGUGUGUCCUUAGGUAGGACACUCCAACUCUUCAGACCUUGCUGUAAAACGUGGCCCAUCUGCUCUAUUCCCAAAUAAGUCAAUGCAUAAAAACAGACAUGUUUGCAAAACAUCCUCAGCAGUGUGAGGGGUGCUGUUGCUUUGGGAGGGCCCCCCACCUCCAGACAUAGCAGGUCUGCUGGCUCACAGGCAGCUUCCCCCUAGACAAGAGGCUUUGGGUCAGAAGAAAGCCAGGCAGAGCAUCUCCAUCCACCUCUCCUUCCUCUCCCUUUCUCUUCCCCUUUCUGUAUCCCUAGAAGUCACAAUCAGGAGUAAGUGGCUCAGAGGCCUAAAUAUCUUCUAGAAGCAUUUGAGCACUAAGGGCAAGGAGAAGCUGUAGGCAGUGCAGGGAAUCGGGGAACUGGAUGUGGGGGUCAAUGCAGGGUCUGUAUUUUCAGUAGGUUUUGAGAGCAAAGGCCUCACAGAAAUUGUCUUAAAGGAAGUUUGACAGGGAGGACCUUAAGUCCAGAAUUGAAACACACACACACACACACACGCAUGCAAGCAUGCACACAGACUAGAAAAGAAAAUGGAAUGGGGAUGAAGCAGUGGGGUGAUAGAGCCAAAGGAGAAAGGAACUAAAUGAAGGACACAGAAUAUGCAGAACAGAGAAAUACACUUUCUUUUGCUCCCUAAUUUAAAAUAUGUAUUACUCUUAAAGAUCAACAGUAGAAAGGAAAAAGAAAAAAAAAUGCAGGUAUCACCAUCCUGAAAUUAACUGCGAUUCUGCAAGAUAAAUUACGAUAUAGUGCUUGCUUGAAGAAAGGGUGAAUUAGUUUGGAUUCCUUGAUAUGAAAAAUAAAGGAUUUGCAGC